CCUACGGGGGGCAGCAGUAGGGAAUCUUUCACAAUGGGCGAAAGCCUGAUGGAGCAACGCCGCGUGCAGGAUGAAGGCCUUCGUGUUGUAAACUUCUUUUAUAAGCGAGAAAUAUGAUGGUAACUUAUGAAUAAGGAUCGGCUAACUACGUGCCAGCAGCCGCGGUCAUACGUAGGAGCCGAGCAUUAUCCGGAGUGACUGGGUGUAAAGAGUUGCUUAGGUGGCAUAAUAAGUAGCUAGUGAAAGCUGGUGGGUCAACCAUUCAGACUACUAGCUAAACUGUUAAGCUCGAGGCCGUUAGGGGUAAGUGGAAUUUCUAGUGUAGGAGUGAAAUGCGUAGAUAUUAGGAGGAACACCAAUAGCGAAGGCAGGUUACUGGGACGGUUCUGACGCUGAGGCACGAAAGCGUAGGGAGCAAACAGGAUUAGAUACCCUGGUAGUC
This 442-nucleotide ribosomal RNA is filed under the name uncultured bacterium. RNAcentral's name for it is "partial 16S ribosomal RNA". It matches the Rfam family "Bacterial small subunit ribosomal RNA", at positions 338 to 795 of the family's 1533-position model. The record is from RNAcentral.